Molecule: ribosomal RNA, 506 nt
Filed under: uncultured bacterium
Lineage: Bacteria
Description: partial 16S ribosomal RNA
Rfam family: Bacterial small subunit ribosomal RNA
Source: RNAcentral
ACUGAACGCUGGCGGCAGGCCUAACACACGCAAGUCGGACGGUAGCACAGAGGAGCUUGCUCCUCGGGUGACGAGUGGCGGACGGGUGAGUAAUGUCUGGGGAUCUGCCCGAUAGAGGGGGAUAACCACUGGAAACGGUGGCUAAUACCGCAUAACGUCGCAAGACCAAAGAGGGGGACCUUCGGGCCCCUCACUAUCGGAUGAACCCAGAUGGGAUUAGCUAGUAGGCGGGGUAACGGCCCACCUAGGCGACGAUCCCUAGCUGGUCUGAGAGGAUGACCAGCCACACUGGAACUGAGACACGGUCCAGACUCCUACGGGAGGCAGCAGUGGGGAAUAUUGCACAAUGGGCGCAAGCCUGAUGCAGCCAUGCCGCGUGUAUGAAGAAGGCCUUCGGGUUGUAAAGUACUUUCAGCGGGGAGGAAGGCGAUGUGGUUAAUAACCGCGUCGAUUGACGUUACCCGCAGAAGAAGCACCGGCUAACUCCGUGCCAGCCGCCGCCGUAA